This 432-nucleotide ribosomal RNA is filed under the name uncultured bacterium. RNAcentral describes it as "partial 16S ribosomal RNA". It matches the Rfam family "Bacterial small subunit ribosomal RNA", at positions 29 to 507 of the family's 1533-position model. The record is from RNAcentral.
ACGAACGCUGGCGGCAGGCCUAACACAUGCAAGUCGAGCGCGCCCUUCGGGGUGAGCGGCGGACGGGUGAGUAACGCGUGGGAACGUGCCCUUUUCUACGGAAUAGCCUCGGGAAACUGAGAGUAAUACCGUAUACGCCCUUUGGGGGAAAGAUUUAUCGGAAAAGGAUCGGCCCGCGUUGGAUUAGGUAGUUGGUGGGGUAAUGGCCUACCAAGCCGUCGAUCCAUAGCUGGUUUGAGAGGAUGAUCAGCCACACUGGGACUGAGACACGGCCCAGACUCCUACGGGAGGCAGCAGUGGGGAAUCUUAGACAAUGGGGGCAACCCUGAUCUAGCCAUGCCGCGUGAGUGAUGAAGGCCUUAGGGUUGUAAAGCUCUUUCAGCUGGGAAGAUAAUGACGGUACCAGCAGAAGAAGCCCCGGCUAACUCCGUG